Molecule: ribosomal RNA, 253 nt
Filed under: uncultured bacterium
Lineage: Bacteria
Description: partial 16S ribosomal RNA
Rfam family: Bacterial small subunit ribosomal RNA
Source: RNAcentral
UACGGAGGGUGCAAGCGUUAUCCGGAUUCACUGGGUUUAAAGGGUGCGUAGGUGGCGCCGUAAGUCGGGUGUGAAAUUUCGGAGCUUAACUCCGAAACUGCAUUCGAUACUGCGGUGCUUGAGGACUGGAGAGGAGACUGGAAUUCAUGGUGUAGCAGUGAAAUGCGUAGAGAUCAUGAGGAAGACCAGUGGCGAAGGCGGGUCUCUGGACAGUUCCUGACACUGAGGCACGAAGGCCAGGGGAGCAAACGGG